GGAAUCUUGCACAAUGGAGGAAACUCUGAUGCAGCGAUGCCGCGUGAGUGAAGAAGGCCUUUGGGUUGUAAAGCUCUUUUGUAGGGGAAGAUAAUGACUGUACCCUAAGAAUAAGGUCCGGCUAACUUCGUGCCAGCAGCCGCGGUAAUACGAAGGGACCUAGCGUAGUUCGGAAUUACUGGGCGUAAAGCGCGCGUAGGCCGUUGAGUUAGUUAAUUGUGAAAUCCCAAAGCUUAACUUUGGAACUGCAAUUAAAACUGCUCGACUAGAGUUUGAUAGAGGAAAGCGGAAUACAUAGUGUAGAGGUGAAAUUCGUAGAUAUUAUGUAGAACACCAGUUGCGAAGGCGGCUUUCUGGAUCAACACUGACGCUGAGGCGCGAAAGUAUGGGCAGCAAAGAGGAUUAGAUACCCUCGUAGUCCAUACCAUAAACGAUGAUUGCUAGAUGUUGGAGAUUUAUUUUCAGUAUCGCAGCUAACGCAUUAAGCAAUCCGCCUGGGGAGUACGACCGCAAGGUUAAAACUCAAAUGAAUUGACGG
Molecule: ribosomal RNA, 538 nt
Filed under: uncultured bacterium
Lineage: Bacteria
Description: bacterial SSU rRNA
Rfam family: Bacterial small subunit ribosomal RNA
Source: RNAcentral